RNAcentral lists this ribosomal RNA (483 nucleotides) under uncultured bacterium. Its description in RNAcentral is "partial 16S ribosomal RNA". It matches the Rfam family "Bacterial small subunit ribosomal RNA", at positions 28 to 507 of the family's 1533-position model. The record is from RNAcentral.
GAUGAACGCUAGCGGCAGGCCUAAUACAUGCAAGCCGAACGGCAAGUUUGAUAGCAAUAUUGGACCUAGAGUGGCGCAAGGGUGCGUAACACGUAUGCAACCUGCCCGCGGCAGGAGGAUAGCUCCCCGAGAGGGGAAUUAACCCUCCAUAACACCAUGAGAAGGCAUCUGAUUAUGGUUAAACCGCAAGGGGUCGCGGAUGGGCAUGCGGUUGAUUAGCUAGUUGGCGGGGUAAAGGCCCACCAAGGCGGUGAUCAAUAGGGGUUCUGAGAGGAAGGUCCCCCACACUGGCACUGCGAUACGGGCCAGACUCCUACGGGAGGCAGCAGUAGGGAAUAUUGGACAAUGGUUGCAAGACUGAUCCAGCCAUGCCGCGUGCAGGAAGAAGGCCUUCUGGGUCGUAAACUGCUUUUUCCUGUGGAUAAAAUACCCGUGCGCGGGGAAUUGAAGGUAACAGGGGAAUAAGCCACGGCUAACUACGUG